CUUUUGUCUUUUUGUUGUUGUUAUUGUUGCUAUCUCUUGGUUCUUGGGCCGCUCCCGCGGCAUAUGGAGGUUCCCAGGCUAGGGGUUGAAUUGGAGCUGUAGCCACCGGCCUACGCCAGAGCCACAGCAACGCGGGAUCCGAGCCGCAUCUGCAACCUACACCACAGCUCACGGCAACGCCGGAUCGUUAACCCACUGAGCAAGGGCAGGGACCGAACCCGCAACCUCAUGGUUCCUAGUCGGAUUCGUUAACCACUGCGCCACGACGGGAACUCCUGCUGCAGCUGUUUUUAUUAUAAAAGAUGCUAAAUUUCUGGAAGGCAGGGCCGUGCUCAUCUUUGUAUCUCAGGUGACCAUGGAGAGGGUGUGCGCAAGGGUGAACUUGAGUGACAGCAGCCAAAAGUGGACUGAGUUCCCUGGCCACCCAGAAGUCGGCUCCUGUUCUGGGAUUUCCUCCUCACGUUGUCCAGAAGGCGCUUAGCACGUAGUAUGUGCUCCUAAAAUUUCCUCAUCAAUUGCGAAAAUACAAGCCACUUGUCUUAGUCUGUUUGAGGCGCGAUAAGAAAAUACCGCAGACUGGGUGGCUUACAACCAAAGGAAAUGCCUUCCUCACUGUCCUGGAGCCCAGAAACCGAGCCCAGGGUCCCAGCACCGCUGAGUGAGGGCCCCUCUGGGUUGGCAGACGCUUCCUGUGUCCCCACGUGGUGGAAGGGCCAGGGACUUCUUUGCAAGGGCGCGGGUCCCACUGAAGAGGCCCCUCCCUCACAGUGUAUUCAAGACCCCUUCCGGCUCCCACCCCAGGGUUGGGAGCUCACCCCAAGAAUUUGAGGAACACAGACGUUCAGACCACAGCGCCACCUUUCAAAACAGACCCGAGGGCGCGAAGGAGCAGAGACCCGCGGAGCGGCCUCGGCCUCAGGAGUGGCCGCGGGGCGGGGGGCUGCCCUGGUGUCUGUGCGUCCUUCCCGCGUCCUUCUCACUCCUGUUUCCGAGGCGCAGCAACUCCAGGGUCUGAAUCGUGCUAGCAGUUGCUCAAUGAUGCCACAGCAUAUGCAGGGGAUUCUGGCAGGAACCGGGAUUGCAGAAGCAAAAGCCCCCCACCAAAGGUUUGCGGCUUCUUGUCUGUCACCAGCUGAUUGUAAAGCUGAACCUAAAUAUGUCAUUCGUUCCAUGCAAACUCUCCAGCUGCAAACUCUAACUGUGAGCGUCAGGGCCCUCGGAGCUCCCUCCUCGUAGACAGAGGAGAGGCUCUGACCCCGAGGCCUGGGAGGGGCUCCCGGGCUCCUGGUCCCCCGGUCCCGGGGCUCACAGCCAUCCCGCGGGGCAGGAGGGUGCAGGCCCAGAGAGGAGAGCCCUGGUGUAAGUCCAUCCUGCCCUCCAGCCCGCGGCUUCCCAGGGGCAGAAGGCCUUCCAGGGCACCCUCCUCGGAUCCUCAACACGAUCCUGAGAAGAGGGCGAAGGGAUGGCAUGAGCUCCGUUUUCAGAGGGAAACUCAUUUUCAGAACUGCAAGUCGCUGGAGGCCACAGAGCCAGCCGUGGGCUCCAGGGUCCCGCCUGGAGUUCAGAGAAGCCCAGGCUUCGACUCCCUCCAAGACUAUGUGAGUCGCCCCUGGAGGGGCGCCUACUGCACCCCAAUGCCACGCACGCACUCAGGAGCUGGACCAGCCAGAGGGGAAACCGGCUCCCUGUGUUCGGGGGAGAGGACGUAGGUGCGAUGGGGUUUGCAGAGCUGAUCCAGGUCUUACCCUGGCCCCCCUGGCCCCGGCAUUCCCUUCAUUUAAGCAUUAUUUAAAGAAUUUCUAUUUAUAAAGAGCACAUAAUCCUGAGAUAUGUGAUACUUUAUGUCGCUAUUGAUUCAAAAACCAUUUGUUUUUCACACAGUGGGGAGGGUGGCAGGGUUGGUAUGGGUCCGAUUUAGGGAGAGUUACAGACGUAAGAGCAUGUUCUUAUCCAGAUUUACUGAAGCGCAGCAUCUCGGCACAGUGACUACCUCGCGGCUCUGGGGCGCGCUCUGCUCUCCACGUGGCCGACUGAGGCUGCUGCAGGAGGUCCCCCUGGAUGGCAGGACAGAGGGGUGGCCUGGGAGCCCCUGGCCCUUGACAAAAGCACCAGGGAGAGCAGCCCGAGACGAGCUCGGCUCAGCCCAGGGUGGCAGGAAUCAGGACAGACAAGGAGAUGAGACGAGGCGCCAUGAGAUGCAAACUCAUCGUGGUGUCCCCACAGGAGGAGAUGGGCACGGGUGUCAGGUCACCAAUUAGGACCCAACUCUGCGGUGGGGGCAGGAGGCUGUCAGGAGGACGCACGGCUGAGCUUUCGCGGUUCUUGGGGUCCCAAGAUACCAACCAGAGGAGCUUCCUGGGGGAGGAGACAGUAGGGACGAGAGGGCAGAGGGAAGGAGGAGGGCAGGUCCGCAGGUCCUGAGGAUGCAGGAAGCCUCCCCCGCCCUCCAUGGGCCAGAGGGUCAGGCUCGGGCUUUAGACCAGCGGCCCCGAGAACAGAGUGCAGGGGGAGGGGUCGUGA
Molecule: long non-coding RNA, 2520 nt
Filed under: Sus scrofa (pig)
Lineage: Eukaryota; Metazoa; Chordata; Mammalia; Artiodactyla; Suidae
Description: lncRNA (ENSSSCG00050014130.1)
Source: RNAcentral